AGGGUAUUAGUUCAGUUGGUUAGAACGCUACAUUUGGGAUGUAGAGGUCGUCCGUUCGAGUCGGACAUACCCUACCA
This 77-nucleotide transfer RNA is filed under the name Clostridia bacterium. Its description in RNAcentral is "tRNA-Pro". It matches the Rfam family "tRNA". Rfam says of the family: Transfer RNA (tRNA) molecules are approximately 80 nucleotides in length. Their secondary structure includes four short double-helical elements and three loops (D, anti-codon, and T loops). The record is from RNAcentral. Lineage: Bacteria; Bacillati; Bacillota; Clostridia.